Camelus ferus (Wild Bactrian camel) is the source of this 73-nucleotide transfer RNA. It matches the Rfam family "tRNA". Rfam says of the family: Transfer RNA (tRNA) molecules are approximately 80 nucleotides in length. Their secondary structure includes four short double-helical elements and three loops (D, anti-codon, and T loops). NCBI's taxonomy places the organism in Eukaryota, Metazoa, Chordata, Mammalia, Artiodactyla, Camelidae. The record is from Rfam.
GAGGGUAUAGCUCAAGCAGUAUAGUGCAUGCUUAGCAUGCACGAGGUGCUGGGUUCAAUCCCCAGUACCUCCU